This 305-nucleotide ribosomal RNA is filed under the name uncultured bacterium. RNAcentral's name for it is "bacterial SSU rRNA". It matches the Rfam family "Bacterial small subunit ribosomal RNA", at positions 332 to 656 of the family's 1533-position model. The record is from RNAcentral.
UUGACCUACGGGAGGCAGCAGUGGGGGAUAUUGCACAAUGGGGGGAACCCUGAUGCAGCGACGCCGCGUGAAGGAAGAAGUAUCUCGGUAUGUAAACUUCUAUCAGCAGGGAAGAAAAUGACGGUACCUGACUAAGAAGCCCCGGCUAACUACGUGCCAGCAGCCGCGGUAAUACGUAGGGGGCAAGCGUUAUCCGGAUUUACUGGGUGUAAAGGGAGCGUAGGCGGCAGUGCAAGUCAGAAGUGAAAGCCCGGGGCCCAACCCCGGAACUGCUCUGGAAACUGUGCGGCUAGAGUACUGGAGGG